CAGUAGCCGCGGGAAUACGAAGGGUGCAAGCGUUAAUCGGAAUUACUGGGCGUAAAGCGUGCGUAGGCGGUGAGUUAAGUCUGCUGUGAAAUCCCCGGGCUCAACCUGGGAAUGGCAGUGGAUACUGGCUCGCUAGAGUGUGUCAGAGGAUGGUGAAAUUCCCGGUGUAGCGGUGAAAUGCGUAGAGAUCGGGAGGAACAUCAGUGGCGAAGGCGGCCAUCUGGGACAACACUGACGCUGAGGCACGAAAGCGUGGGGAGCGAACAGGAUUAGAUACCCCCGUAGUCCCUGUCUCUUAUAC
This 301-nucleotide ribosomal RNA is filed under the name uncultured bacterium. RNAcentral's name for it is "partial 16S ribosomal RNA". It matches the Rfam family "Bacterial small subunit ribosomal RNA", at positions 509 to 807 of the family's 1533-position model. The record is from RNAcentral.